GGAAUAUUGCACAAUGGGCGCAAGCCUGAUGCAGCAACGCCGCGUGAGGGAAGACGGUUUUCGGAUUGUAAACCUCUGUCUUUGGUGACGAAGAAGUGACGGUAGCCAAGGAGGAAGCCACGGCUAACUACGUGCCAGCAGCCGCGGUAAUACGUAGGUGGCAAGCGUUAUCCGGAAUUACUGGGUGUAAAGGGAGCGCAGGCGGGUCAGCAAGUCAGCGGUGAAAAUUAUGGGCUCAACCCAUAAACUGCCGUUGAAACUGUUGAUCUUGAGUGGAGUAGAGGCAGGCGGAAUUCCGAGUGUAGCGGUGAAAUGCGUAGAUAUUCGGAGGAACACCAGUGGCGAAGGCGGCCUGCUGGGCUCUAACUGACGCUGAGGCUCGAAAGUGUGGGGAGCAAACA
This 401-nucleotide ribosomal RNA is filed under the name uncultured bacterium. RNAcentral describes it as "bacterial SSU rRNA". It matches the Rfam family "Bacterial small subunit ribosomal RNA", at positions 358 to 774 of the family's 1533-position model. The record is from RNAcentral.